Molecule: long non-coding RNA, 759 nt
Organism: Rhipicephalus sanguineus (brown dog tick)
Lineage: Eukaryota; Metazoa; Arthropoda; Arachnida; Ixodida; Ixodidae
Exons: 3
Source: RefSeq, a predicted model, not a curated record
AUCUGCGAGUGGCCCCGUUUCGACGGAAUAGCAAACAUGGCGGUGCCGGCGAGCUUUUUCGUGUUGUUGGCGGCGAUCGCUCGGCGGCUCGGCAGCACCGUGGGCGCCGUGAGCGCCCGACGACGCGUUCGACAUGCCAGUCGAUGAAAGAGUUCGCCGUCACUUUCGCCCGAAGAAAGGAAGGUGCGGCGGUUGUGCGACGAAGUGGCCGAGGAAGGCGCGCGACGGCGCGACCGACUUCGCUGUCGGUGCAGCCUGUGGGUGUUGUGCGGCCUUCGGUUUUUCGCGAGUGGCAGCUUUCAAGCCUCGUUUGGAAGCGAGGAUACAUGCAAGCUGCGGUGAGCAGACUGUGUGCGAUGUUGUGGCGGAGGUAAUCGUGCACGCCGGGAUCCGUAACAAGUGGGUUCACUUCCCGUGGACGCCGGAUGAAAAGGCGGCCUUGAAUGUUUCCUACGGCUGCCGGCGUCAUCGGAUGCGUUGCCGUCAUCAUUGCACCGAAGGGUGACCAUCACAAGGCGGCAUUUUAUCCCCGCAAAGGACAUUAUGCCCACAUCGUCAUGCUAAUCUGCGACGCAGACAUCGGAAUCCUGCCGUGAACCACUGAGUCUGGGAUCAGACUACGACGCCCACGUCUGGCGGACAACGCGGCUGCGUGAGCGCAUCGAAGGGGCCCGGAUUGCCGCGGCCGUACCUUCUGGCUUCUAGGUGACAGAGGCUACAAACCAGGACCAUGGCUCCUGACACCUCUCCGAGGCUGUC